RNAcentral lists this ribosomal RNA (528 nucleotides) under uncultured bacterium. Its description in RNAcentral is "bacterial SSU rRNA". It matches the Rfam family "Bacterial small subunit ribosomal RNA", at positions 355 to 896 of the family's 1533-position model. The record is from RNAcentral.
CAAGGAAUCUUCCGCAAUGGGCGAAAGCCUGACGGAGCAACGCCGCGUGUGGGAUGACGCCUUUCGGGGUGUAAACCACUUUUCUCAGGGAAGAAGCACUGACGGUACCUGAGGAAGAAGGACCGGCUAACUACGUGCCAGCAGCCGCGGUAAUACGUAGGGUCCGAGCGUUGUCCCGGAGUUACUGGGCGUAAAGCGCGCGCAGGCGGCGGUGUAAGCAUGGCGUGAAAGCCCCUGGCUUAACCAGGGAGGGUCGUCGUGGACUGCACCGCUUGAGGGCGGUAGGGGCUGGUGGAAUGCCUGGUGUAGUGGUGAAAUGCGUAGAGAUCAGGCGGAACACCCGUGGCGAAGGCGGCCAGCUGGGCCGUCCCUGACGCUGAGGCGCGAAGGCGUGGGGAGCGAACGGGAUUAGAUACCCCGGUAGUCCACGCAGUAAACGAUGCAGACUAGGCGUGGGGGGAGUUGGCCCCCUCCGUGCCGGAGCCAACGCGGGAAGUCUGCCGCCUGGGGAGUACGGCCGCAAGGCUA